UGUGAGAGGGGACAUUCUGAGGCCUCAUCAGUUUCAUGUCUCAGCCCCCAACCACCUGUCUCCUGGGCUUUGGUAGAGCUUGGAACUAAGUGCCCGCAGCCCGGCGGCACAUGCAACCUUGCACUUAGUGCGAGAGACAUCAGGCGGCUGCUGAACACUGCUCGAUUCAUUGAAGGCAGGCGGCCAAGCAGGCCCUUCUGAGCAGGUUCUGGUGCCAUCGCCGCUCGGCCCCAUGCAUAGCCAUGAUUCAGAAGACCGAGGACACCCUUGCUGGCAGCUGAUCUUUGAAGAAGUACCAGCUCAGAGAGAGACUCUUGGCCCAUGUCAGGACUCAACAAAUGUGGCUGAAUGAACGAAUGAAUGAUUGUGAUGGGAUAAAGCCAGCUUUUCCUUUUUUUAUUUUAUUUUAUUAUUAUUAUACUUUAAGUUUUAGGGUACAUGUGCACAAUGUGCAGGUUUGUUACAUAUGUAUACAUGGGCCAUGUUGGUGUACUGCAACCAUUAACUCGUCAUUUAGCAUUAGGUAUAUCUCCUAAUGCUAUCCCUCCCCCCUCCCCCCACCCCACAACAGUCCUCGGAGUGUGAUGUUCCCCUUCCUGUGUCCAUGUGUUCUCAUUGUUCAAUUCCCACCUAUGAGUGAGAACAUGCGGUGUUUGGUUUUUUGUCCUUGCCAUAGUUUGCUGAGAAUGAUGAUUUCCAGUUUCAUCCAUGUCCCUGCAAAGGACAUGAACUCAUCAUUUUUUAUGGCUGCAUAGUAUUCCAUGGGGUAUAUGUGCCACAUUUUCUUACUCCAGUCUAUCGUUGUUGGACAUUUGGGUUGGUUCCAAGUCUUUGCUAUCGUGAAUAGUGCUGCAAUAAACAUACGUGUGCGUGU
This 874-nucleotide long non-coding RNA is filed under the name Homo sapiens (human). RNAcentral describes it as "HSALNT0001179". The record is from RNAcentral. Lineage: Eukaryota; Metazoa; Chordata; Mammalia; Primates; Hominidae.